GAUAAACGCUGGCGGCGUGCCUAAUACAUGCAAGUCGAGCGAACGGACGAGAAGCUUGCUUCUCUGAUGUUAGCGGCGGACGGGUGAGUAACACGUGGAUAACCUACCUAUAAGACUGGGAUAACUUCGGGAAACCGGAGCUAAUACCGGAUAAUAUUUUGAACCGCAUGGUUCAAAAGUGAAAGACGGUCUUGCUGUCACUUAUAGAUGGAUCCGCGCUGCAUUAGCUAGUUGGUAAGGUAACGGCUUACCAAGGCAACGAUGCAUAGCCGACCUGAGAGGGUGAUCGGCCACACUGGAACUGAGACACGGUCCAGACUCCUACGGGAGGCAGCAGUAGGGAAUCUUCCGCAAUGGGCGAAAGCCUGACGGAGCAACGCCGCGUGAGUGAUGAAGGUCUUCGGAUCGUAAAACUCUGUUAUUAGGGAAGAACAUAUGUGUAAGUAACUGUGCACAUCUUGACGGUACCUAAUCAGAAAGCCACGGCUAACUACGUGCCAGCAGCCGCGGUAAUACGUAGGUGGCAAGCGUUAUCCGGAAUUAUUGGGCGUAAAGCGCGCGUAGGCGGUUUUUUAAGUCUGAUGUGAAAGCCCACGGCUCAACCGUGGAGGGUCAUUGGAAACUGGAAAACUUGAGUGCAGAAGAGGAAAGUGGAAUUCCAUGUGUAGCGGUGAAAUGCGCAGAGAUAUGGAGGAACACCAGUGGCGAAGGCGACUUUCUGGUCUGUAACUGACGCUGAUGUGCGAAAGCGUGGGGAUCAAACAGGAUUAGAUACCCUGGUAGUCCACGCCGUAAACGAUGAGUGCUAAGUGUUAGGGGGUUUCCGCCCCUUAGUGCUGCAGCUAACGCAUUAAGCACUCCGCCUGGGGAGUACGACCGCAAGGUUGAAACUCAAAGGAAUUGACGGGGACCCGCACAAGCGGUGGAGCAUGUGGUUUAAUUCGAAGCAACGCGAAGAACCUUACCAAAUCUUGACAUCCUUUGACAACUCUAGAGAUAGAGCCUUCCCCUUCGGGGGACAAAGUGACAGGUGGUGCAUGGUUGUCGUCAGCUCGUGUCGUGAGAUGUUGGGUUAAGUCCCGCAACGAGCGCAACCCUUAAGCUUAGUUGCCAUCAUUAAGUUGGGCACUCUAAGUUGACUGCCGGUGACAAACCGGAGGAAGGUGGGGAUGACGUCAAAUCAUCAUGCCCCUUAUGAUUUGGGCUACACACGUGCUACAAUGGACAAUGCAAAGGGCAGCGAAACCGCGAGGUCAAGCAAAUCCCAUAAAGUUGUUCUCAGUUCGGAUUGUAGUCUGCAACUCGACUACAUGAAGCUGGAAUCGCUAGUAAUCGUAGAUCAGCAUGCUACGGUGAAUACGUUCCCGGGUCU
This 1372-nucleotide ribosomal RNA is filed under the name uncultured bacterium. RNAcentral describes it as "bacterial SSU rRNA". It matches the Rfam family "Bacterial small subunit ribosomal RNA", at positions 28 to 1381 of the family's 1533-position model. The record is from RNAcentral.